UACGAAGGGGGCUAGCGUUGCUCGGAAUGACUGGGCGUAAAGGGCGCGUAGGCGGUUUGUUGAGUUGGGCGUGAAAUUCCUGGGCUUAACCUGGGGGCUGCGUCCAAUACCAGCAGGCUUGAGUGCGGAAGAGGGUCGUGGAAUUCCCAGUGUAGAGGUGAAAUUCGUAGAUAUUGGGAAGAACACCGGUGGCGAAGGCGGCGACCUGGUCCGUGACUGACGCUGAGGCGCGAAAGCGUGGGGAG
This 245-nucleotide ribosomal RNA is filed under the name uncultured bacterium. Its description in RNAcentral is "partial 16S ribosomal RNA". It matches the Rfam family "Bacterial small subunit ribosomal RNA", at positions 524 to 768 of the family's 1533-position model. The record is from RNAcentral.